This 65-nucleotide transfer RNA is filed under the name Stenus clavicornis. Its description in RNAcentral is "tRNA-Leu". The record is from RNAcentral. Lineage: Eukaryota; Metazoa; Arthropoda; Insecta; Coleoptera; Staphylinidae.
UCUAAUGUGGCAGAUUAGUGUAGUGGAUUUAAAUCCCAUUUAUAAAUUUUUUAAUUUCUUUAGAA